Molecule: unclassified non-coding RNA, 25 nt
Filed under: Mus musculus (house mouse)
Lineage: Eukaryota; Metazoa; Chordata; Mammalia; Rodentia; Muridae
Description: oocyte_clustered_small_RNA10752
Source: RNAcentral
UGACCAUGGAGUUCCCCACCGCUGA